Molecule: ribosomal RNA, 485 nt
Filed under: uncultured bacterium
Lineage: Bacteria
Description: partial 16S ribosomal RNA
Rfam family: Bacterial small subunit ribosomal RNA
Source: RNAcentral
UUGAACGCUGGCGGCAUGCCUUACACAUGCCAGUCGAACGGCAGCACGGGUGCUUGCACCUGGUGGCGAGUGGCGAACGGGUGAGUAAUACAUCGGAACAUGUCCUGUAGUGGGGGAUAGCCCGGCGAAAGCCGGAUUAAUACCGCAUACGAUCCACGGAUGAAAGCGGGGGACCUUCGGGCCUCGCGCUAUAGGGUUGGCCGAUGGCUGAUUAGCUAGUUGGUGGGGUAAAGGCCUACCAAGGCGACGAUCAGUAGCUGGUCUGAGAGGACGACCAGCCACACUGGGACUGAGACACGGCCCAGACUCCUACGGGAGGCAGCAGUGGGGAAUUUUGGACAAUGGGCGAAAGCCUGAUCCAGCAAUGCCGCGUGUGUGAAGAAGGCCUUCGGGUUGUAAAGCACUUUUGUCCGGAAAGAAAUCCUUGACUCUAAUACAGUCGGGGGAUGACGGUACCGGAAGAAUAAGCACCGGCUAACUACGUG